CCUACGGGGGGCAGCAGUGGGGAAUAUUGCACAAUGGGGGAAACCCUGAUGCAGCAACGCCGCGUGAGUGAAGAAGUAUUUCGGUAUGUAAAGCUCUAUCAGCAGGGAAGAAGAUGACGGUACCUGAAUAAGAAGCCCCGGCUAACUACGUGCCAGCAGCCGCGGUAAUACGUCGGGGGCAAGCGUUAUCCGGAUUUACUGGGUGUAAAGGGAGCGCAGACGGCAUUGCAAGUCUGGAGUGAAAGCCCGGGGCCCAACCCCGGAACUGCUCUGGAUACUGUGGGGCUAGAGUGCAGGAGGGGCAGGCGGAAUUCCUAGUGUAGCGGUGAAAUGCGUAGAUAUUAGGAGGAACACCAGUGGCGAAGGCGGCCUGCUGGACAGUAACUGACGUUGAGGCACGAAAGCGUGGGGAGCAAACAGGAUUAGAUACCCUGGUAGUC
Molecule: ribosomal RNA, 440 nt
Filed under: uncultured bacterium
Lineage: Bacteria
Description: partial 16S ribosomal RNA
Rfam family: Bacterial small subunit ribosomal RNA
Source: RNAcentral